This is an RNA transcript of Mercurialis annua (annual mercury), 1529 nucleotides long. It is a transcript of the gene named anaphase-promoting complex subunit 1-like, with no coding region annotated. NCBI's taxonomy places the organism in Eukaryota, Viridiplantae, Streptophyta, Magnoliopsida, Malpighiales, Euphorbiaceae. The record is from RefSeq and is a predicted model, not a curated record. The transcript has 6 exons.
CUUGUACUAAGGUUAGUUCAAUUUGGUUGUCGAGUAUUAGUCCGUCUGUAGGAGUUUCCUUUCCUGCUCUUAAGCCUCAAAUUACUGAUAAGUCGACUAAACGUCCCAUCAUUGUUGGUGUUGUUCUUGAUUGUUAUUUUUUCGGGAGCUAGAAGAACUCUGUACCCAUUCGGCAAAUUCCUCAGUGUGCUCUCGUGGGUGCGUGGUAAAUGUCCAUGUAUAUCGCUCAGUUAGAGUUUUUUAACGGGCAAGCACCGGACCGUAUGAAUAGCUUCAGAUGAAGUUCAUAUUGUGAUGGUUUGGAAGGCAGAGUUGGUAUUAACUGAUUUUUUGUUGCAUAAGAUGUUUACUUCGUCUGAAUUUGAUGGGAUUAGUUCGUUAGAACCCGGUGCUGGAACUGUUAUGUAUCUUUAGUCUACAUGUUGGUUAAUUUAUAGUAGAAGCUCUCACAGUACUUGGAGAGUUCAAGCCGUACGGCUUAACAGCUGAAGCUCUCGACGGCAAGCCUGAAUAUAACAAUGUCGCCGCCGAUACGUACGACUACUUCCUUUUUGACCCCGAAAUUGUCCGAGACCAAUGCAAACUCAACGAUUCCGAUAUUUACGAGUCUCCUUUUAGUGAUCAGUGUGAUCAUGAGCUCUUCAUUUGAGGAAACACGAUAAUAUGGUCGAUUGGCUCGCGAGUUUUCAAGAGAUUCACGUCUCUUUCUCCGGUUAAAAUGACGGAAGUCAACUUUCUGGGGCAACUUAGGCAUCCUAAUCUGGUUAAGUUGAUUGGAUAUUGUUGCAAGGAUGAUCAUAGAUUACUUGUUUAUGACUUCAUGUUCAGAGGAAGCCUCGAGAAUCACCUUUUUCAAAGUGAAUUAGUAUCAAUUCCCGUUCUCUGUACUAUUACUUCAAUGUGGCCUUUUCCAUUUGGUUUGUUACUUCAGCCAGCAGCUGAAGGAAGUACAUCAACCCAACCUACAUUUUUAUCAGCAUGUCCUUUAUCAGAUACGCGUGAUAUUUUCCGCUCUCGGAAAGAUAUUGGUCAGAGUCCACGACACAAUGUCACUUUUAUGGCUAUAUUGUCCUCGCAUCUGAUUCUGAAGGAUUUGCUGGAAGAGCCACAGGUAUGUGUAUGUUCAAAGAGCAAGAACUUCGGAACGAGACUUAAAAGGCUACCAAGAAUCUUAUAGAGAAAUUGGAGUUGGCUUGUUCCCAGAUGUUGGAUUUUUAUAUUUAGCUGCACAUAGUCUCGGAGAAAGGAUCAAUUGGUAUAUUUCUUAAAUUUUUCUACUCUGACUCAUCAUGUUAUCAUUUGUGAACCUGCUCUAUGAUUUGAUUAGAGGAAUUGAUCUUUACUCAAACAAUAAAAGUUGUCAAAUUCAUUCCUACCUUAAGGUGAAAUGCAUAAAUUAGAACAGCCUUUUAUGUUACACUCUUCUUUUUUGUCAGAGUUUGAAAUUUUUUCCUGCUUGCUGGAUUAUCAUUCUUCUUUACGAAUUCAUAGUAUUGAGAUUGUUGGUCUUUGAAAUUUUAUAAUAACUA